This 460-nucleotide ribosomal RNA is filed under the name uncultured bacterium. Its description in RNAcentral is "partial 16S ribosomal RNA". It matches the Rfam family "Bacterial small subunit ribosomal RNA", at positions 338 to 795 of the family's 1533-position model. The record is from RNAcentral.
CCUACGGGAGGCAGCAGUGAGGAAUAUUGGUCAAUGGACGAGAGUCUGAACCAGCCAAGUAGCGUGAAGGAUGACUGCCCUAUGGGUUGUAAACUUCUUUUAUAUGGGAAUAAAAUGUUCCACGUGUGGGAUUUUGUAUGUACCAUAUGAAUAAGGAUCGGCUAACUCCGUGCCAGCAGCCGCGGUAAUACGGAGGAUCCGAGCGUUAUCCGGAUUUAUUGGGUUUAAAGGGAGCGUAGGUGGAUUGUUAAGUCAGUUGUGAAAGUUUGCGGCUCAACCGUAAAAUUGCAGUUGAAACUGGCAGUCUUGAGUACAGUAGAGGUGUGCGGAAUGCGUGGUGUAGCGGUGAAAUGCUUAGAUAUCACGAAGAACUCCGAUUGCGAAGGCAGUUCACUGGACUGCAACUGACACUGAGGCUCGAAAGUGUGGGUAUCAAACAGGAUUAGAUACCCGAGUAGUC